GUAUGUUCUCAUGAUAAACUAACUCUAACUCUGUUGAUGGAGGUCAAGGCUGCAGCGUCUAAAGAGAAGUACAUGAUAAACUGACUCUAACUCUGUUGUGGAAACUUCACACCUCUCUGUUGCUGAUACUGUUGGAGGUCAAGGCUGCAGCGUCUAAAGAUAAGUGUGUUGGUGUGAAAACGGAAGGGGGGAGAGAGAAGAUAAGAGAAAUGAGAAGUAAAGAGAUGGACCGACAGGGUUGUGGUUAUUCACCGCUGCUGAAGAGAGCAUCUUUUUCCACCCACCAUGACGUUCUGAUGAACAGGGUCACUAGGUAAAGAGAGAGGAGAGAGAGAUGAGUGAGGGACAGAGGAGCUGAUCCAGUCUACUACAGCGAAGACCAUCAACACCACUAGAACAUUUAUACACCCCAACAGGUCUCAGUGUUUAAUGUGUAGUUAGAUACAGUUACACACCCCAAUCUGUCUCUGUGU
RNAcentral lists this long non-coding RNA (473 nucleotides) under Salmo salar (Atlantic salmon). RNAcentral describes it as "lncRNA (ENSSSAG00000110710.1)". Lineage: Eukaryota; Metazoa; Chordata; Actinopteri; Salmoniformes; Salmonidae. The record is from RNAcentral.